RNAcentral lists this ribosomal RNA (459 nucleotides) under uncultured bacterium. RNAcentral describes it as "partial 16S ribosomal RNA". It matches the Rfam family "Bacterial small subunit ribosomal RNA", at positions 338 to 795 of the family's 1533-position model. The record is from RNAcentral.
CCUACGGGGGGCAGCAGUGAGGAAUAUUGGUCAAUGGACGAGAGUCUGAACCAGCCAAGUAGCGUGAAGGAUGACUGCCCUAUGGUUUGUAAACUUCUUUUAUAAAGGAAUAAAACGAGGCACGUGUGCCUUUUUGCAUGUACUUUAUGAAUAAGGAUCGGCUAACUCCGUGCCAGCAGCCGCGGUAAUACGGAGGAUGCGAGCGUUAUCCGGAUUUAUUGGGUUUAAAGGGUGCGUAGGCGGACAGUCAAGUCCGCGGUAAAACUGCGGUGCUCAACGCCGUACAGCCGUUGAAACUGGCAGGAGUGAGUGGGAGAGAAGUAUGCGGAAUGCGUGGUGUAGCGUUGAAAUGCAUAGAUAUCACGCAGAACUCCGAUUGCGAAGGCAGCAUACCGGCGCCCGACUGACGCUGAGGCACGAAAGCGUGGGUAUCGAACAGGAUUAGAUACCCUGGUAGUC